UAAUACGAAGGUGGCAAGCGUUGUUCGGAUUUACUGGGCGUACAGGGAGCGUAGGCGGUUGGGUAAGCCCUCCGUGAAAUCUCCGGGCCUAACCCGGAAAGUGCGGAGGGGACUGCUCGGCUAGAGGAUGGGAGAGGAGCGCGGAAUUCCCGGUGUAGCGGUGAAAUGCGUAGAGAUCGGGAGGAAGGCCGGUGGCGAAGGCGGCGCUCUGGAACAUUUCUGACGCUGAGGCUCGAAAGCGUGGGGAGCAAACAGG
Molecule: ribosomal RNA, 256 nt
Filed under: uncultured archaeon
Lineage: Archaea
Description: partial 16S ribosomal RNA
Rfam family: Bacterial small subunit ribosomal RNA
Source: RNAcentral